CAGCGGCGCACGGGUGAGUAACACGUAGGUAACCUACCUUCGAGCCCGGGAUAACCUGUCGAAAGACGGGCUAAUACCAGAUAAGACCACGGGGGUUGCGACUUCCGAGGUAAAAGGUGGCCUCUGCUUGCAAGCUACCGCUUGAGGAUGGGCCUGCGCGCCAUUAGCUAGUUGGCGGGGUAACGGCCCACCAAGGCAAAGAUGGCUAGCUGGUCUGAGAGGAUGACCAGCCACACUGGGACUGAGACACGGCCCAGACUCCUACGGGAGGCAGCAGUGGGGAAUAUUGCGCAAUGGGCGAAAGCCUGACGCAGCGACGCCGCGUGGGUGAUGAAGGCCUUCGGGUCGUAAAGCCCUGUCGGGAGGGACGAAACCUCGGCGACCUAAUAUGUCGCCGACUUGACGGUACCUCCGAAGGAAGCACCGGCUAACUCCGUGCCAGCAGCCGCGGUAAUACGGAGGGUGCGAGCGUUGUUCGGAAUCACUGGGCGUAAAGCGCGUGUAGGCGGCCUUGUAGGUUUGGUGUGAAAGCCCGGGGCUUACCCCCGGAAGUGCACUGGAGACUGCAAGGCUAGAGUACCGGAGAGGAAAGUGGAAUUCCUGGUGUAGCGGUGAAAUGCGUAGAUAUCAGGAGGAACACCGGUGGCGAAGGCGGCUUUCUGGACGGAUAC
Molecule: ribosomal RNA, 671 nt
Filed under: uncultured bacterium
Lineage: Bacteria
Description: bacterial SSU rRNA
Rfam family: Bacterial small subunit ribosomal RNA
Source: RNAcentral